GACGAACGCUGGCGGCGUGCUUAACACAUGCAAGUCGAACGGAAAGGCCCUGCUUUUGUGGGGUGCUCGAGUGGCGAACGGGUGAGUAACACGUGAGUAACCUGCCCUUGACUUUGGGAUAACUUCAGGAAACUGGGGCUAAUACCGGAUAGGAGCUCCUGCUGCAUGGUGGGGGUUGGAAAGUUUCGGCGGUUGGGGAUGGACUCGCGGCUUAUCAGCUUGUUGGUGGGGUAGUGGCUUACCAAGGCUUUGACGGGUAGCCGGCCUGAGAGGGUGACCGGCCACAUGGGGACUGAGAUACGGCCCAGACUCCUACGGGAGGCAGCAGUGGGGAAUAUUGCACAAUGGGCGGAAGCCUGAUGCAGCAACGCCCGGUGCGGGAAGACGGCCUUCGGGUUGUAAACCGCUUUCGCAUGUGACGAAGCGUGAGUGACGGUAAUGGGUAAAGAAGCACCGGCUAACUACGUG
RNAcentral lists this ribosomal RNA (468 nucleotides) under uncultured bacterium. RNAcentral's name for it is "partial 16S ribosomal RNA". It matches the Rfam family "Bacterial small subunit ribosomal RNA", at positions 28 to 507 of the family's 1533-position model. The record is from RNAcentral.